RNAcentral lists this ribosomal RNA (465 nucleotides) under uncultured bacterium. RNAcentral describes it as "partial 16S ribosomal RNA". It matches the Rfam family "Bacterial small subunit ribosomal RNA", at positions 28 to 507 of the family's 1533-position model. The record is from RNAcentral.
GAUGAACGCUGGCGGCGUGCUUAACACAUGCAAGUCGAACGGAAAGGCUCCUGCUUGCAGGGGUACUCGAGUGGCGAACGGGUGAGUAACACGUGGGUGAUCUGCCCUGUACUUCGGGAUAAGCCUGGGAAACUGGGUCUAAUACCGGAUAGGACAACAUCUUGGAUGGUGUGGUGGAAAGUUUUUCGGUGUGGGAUGAGCUCGCGGCCUAUCAGCUUGUUGGUGGGGUAAUGGCCUACCAAGUCGUCGACGGGUAGCCGGCCUGAGAGGGUGUACGGCCACAUUGGGACUGAGAGACGGCCCAGACUGCUACAGGGGGCAGCAGUGGGGAAUAUUACACAGUGGGCGCAAGCCUGAUGCGGCGACGCCGCGUGGGGGAUGACGGCCUUCGGGUUGUGAACUCCUUUCGCUAGGGACGAAGCGCAAGUGACGGUACCUGGAGAAGAAGCACCGGCUAACUACGUG